Molecule: ribosomal RNA, 440 nt
Filed under: uncultured bacterium
Lineage: Bacteria
Description: partial 16S ribosomal RNA
Rfam family: Bacterial small subunit ribosomal RNA
Source: RNAcentral
CCUACGGGAGGCUGCAGUAGGGAAUAUUGCUCAAUGGGGGAAACCCUGAAGCAGCAACGCCGCGUGGAGGAUGAAGGUUUUCGGAUUGUAAACUCCUUUUGUUAGAGAAGAUAAUGACGGUAUCUAACGAAUAAGCAACGGCUAACUCCGUGCCAGCAGCCGCGGUAAUACGGAGGGUGCAAGCGUUAGUCCGAAUCACUGGGCGUAAAGAGAGCGUAGGCGGGAUAGCAAGUCAGAUGUGAAAUCCUAUGGCUUAACCAUAGAACUGCAUUUGAAACUGUUAUUCUAGAGUAUGGGAGAGGUAGGUGGAAUUCUUGGUGUAGGGGUAAAAUCCGUAGAGAUCAAGAGGAAUACUCAUUGCGAAGGCGACCUGCUAGAACAUAACUGACGCUGAUGCGCGAAAGCGUGGGGAGCAAACAGGAUUAGAUACCCUUGUAGUC